This is a long non-coding RNA of Engraulis encrasicolus (European anchovy), 1251 nucleotides long. RefSeq lists it as uncharacterized. The transcript has 5 exons. The record is from RefSeq and is a predicted model, not a curated record. NCBI's taxonomy places the organism in Eukaryota, Metazoa, Chordata, Actinopteri, Clupeiformes, Engraulidae.
GCAAAAUAGGCUUGAAUCCGGAGAUAUUUUGACUGGAUAUGUUUUAUGACACGCGGCAUAUUCGGACCAGAUUUCGACCAUUUCCCGACUUUUCAAGAAUCCGUGAAAAUCUUGGCAUAUUUUGACUCCGGAAUUGUGUUUGGUGAAUACGGAGAUAUUUUGACUGGAUACCGGUAUUUUGAAUGACGUGUGCUGCCAAUCGCAUUGAAUAGAAUGUUGGCCCUCCCUCUGCCGUUAUGAUUAUGAAGCUCUGCGCGGCAGCCCGCCGCUUCCUAUCUGGAUUUCUGUCGUACGUUAGUCGGCAGCAUCUUUAUCACAGACUUUCCAGAAAUCUGUCGCAGACUUGUUAAGCCAUCAAAAAACCGUAUUUAGUUCUAGCUCUAGGCUAUGGGACUAUGAGGACUCCGAGACGGUGUCCAAGUGAGAUGGCUGGCGAGGUUGUUCGAGGUAAUUUCAUGAUGAGGAUGGACCAGACUUUAAGACAUUCUGAGCUCCAUGAAUGUCAUGAGACACUCCAGGAGACGGUGGUUGCAAUGCAUUAUCAACACCCCGCAACCCCAACCCUCCAAUGGAACCCAGAACCCUCCGGAGUUCCUCAGGACCUGUCGGCAUGAGUGAGGCGAACACAUCGUGCGUUGGAGGAAGAGUUGCAGUGACGACUUGGACCACAGGCCAGAAGCCUGAAAUAGAUUCUUUGAGAAUCUUAAAAGUCAAACAACUGGGCCUUGCGGGGAAGACUGAUGACGUGAGAAAAAAAGGAAAAAUUUGAUGAGCAGACGUGAGCGGCAGUGGUGCUGGUGGCGCAGGAUGUCCUGGAGGAGGACGACCUCGACUACCUCAAAGGAGCUGAUGCUAGCCUUGUGCCUGAUGGGGAAACAAGUGCACAUUUGUUGUGCUCUGUCUGAGAUGGAGAAGUGUGCGCCUUGCUGGCGUACUUCAAUUGAUGCCUGCAAGCCCAGCCAGCGAGUGACCGAUAGUGGCCGGUUCUCCCUUCGUGACCCCCGCUCCUUCUGCGGCCGACAAAGCUUGAAAUAUGAUUAAAUGUAAAUGUAAAAUAAGCAAUUAAAGAAAGAACAUUCAAAACAACAAAAUAAUUGUCUGUUAUAAUAUGAUUUUAGCUGGGAUUUAGCAGUAAUUUAAAGGUGGCCUAAUUGUUGUUUUGCAGUAGAUUUGUGUCUAUUAUAUUAUGUUGAAAGAAGUAUACUGCCUUACAAAGGCAAAGUGCAGUAACCAAUUACCGUAGGUUCAUUC